This 492-nucleotide ribosomal RNA is filed under the name uncultured bacterium. RNAcentral describes it as "partial 16S ribosomal RNA". It matches the Rfam family "Bacterial small subunit ribosomal RNA", at positions 29 to 507 of the family's 1533-position model. The record is from RNAcentral.
AGUGAACGCUGGCGGUAGGCCUAACACAUGCCAGUCGAACGGCAGCACAGUAAGAGCUUGCUCUUACGGGAGGCGAGUGGCGGACGGGUGAGGAAUACAUCGGAAUCUACUUUUUCGUGGGGGAUAACGUAGGGAAACUUACGCUAAUACCGCAUACGACCUACUGGUGAAAGCAGGGGAUCUUCGGACCUUGCGCGAUUGAAUGAGGCGAUGUCGGAUUAGCUAGUUGGCGGGGUAAAGGCGCAGCAAGGCGACGAUCCGUAGCUGGUCUGAGAGGAUGAUCAGCCAGCUUGGAACUGAGACACGGCCGAGACUCCGACGGGAGGCAGCAGCGGGGAAUAUUGGGCAAUGGGGGCAAGCCUGAUCCAGCCAUACCGCGUGGGUGAAGAAGGCCUUCGGCUUGUAAAGCCAUUUUGUUGGGAAAGAAAAGCAGCAGUUUAAUACCCCGCUGUUCUGACGGUACCCAAAGAAUAAGCACCGGCUAACUUCGUG